This is a long non-coding RNA of Mastomys coucha (southern multimammate mouse), 648 nucleotides long. RefSeq lists it as uncharacterized. The record is from RefSeq and is a predicted model, not a curated record. Lineage: Eukaryota; Metazoa; Chordata; Mammalia; Rodentia; Muridae. The transcript has 2 exons.
AGCAUUCUGGCUGGAUUCUACCCCCCAGUCAACUGACCACAGCCAGAUGACAACGUGCUGGGGCAAUGGAUUCCAGCUCCAGCCAGAAGAUGAAGGACUCCUGCCUGCGCUCCAUUGGGUGCUUCCCUUCCCCGCCCCAUUUCUCCCUUCAGGCCAGAGCAGACUGAGCUGCCCUGGGGCCCUGGACUCCUUCUCAGAUCUUCUGAGGCAUCCAGCAGCGUCUGGUACCCAGGAACUAGAACAUGUCAUCCUUGGCCUCUGUGAGGACCAGGAACCAUCAGGUUGUCCCCCUUCCACUACUCCCUGCGGACUGGGAUAUAGCUCACGACAGCCAGAUGCCCACCUGGCCCAGAGUACCCGUGCUCAGGCAGAACAAGGGUUACUCCCUUUAUUAUCCCCCACCCCACCCCACCCCAUGCCUGGUGGUGGUGCCUGACAAUAUAUGACUGGGAAUUCAGUAAUCAAAAGCCUGGGCCGGAAUUUUAAUAUCUUCUCCUACACCACCCCUCUCUCUCCACCCCUCUCUUGUCCUUUAUUCACGGAGCCCUCAGCACCCAUAUUCCCAGCCUCUCUGACCUGGGACCUCUUCAGAUGGUCUCACCCUGUAUACUACCUUUGUGAUCCUACUAUUGAAAUAAUUGUCCCUCA